Molecule: long non-coding RNA, 293 nt
Organism: Saccostrea cuccullata (small rock oyster)
Lineage: Eukaryota; Metazoa; Mollusca; Bivalvia; Ostreida; Ostreidae
Exons: 3
Source: RefSeq, a predicted model, not a curated record
UGCAGUGCAUUCAGCCCAGCAGUCAAGAGAGCCAGGUUUGAAGUAAAAAUAAACACAAAAUGCAUCCAUUUCUCCACAGGAUGUUCCUAAAGAAUAUUAGACCAAUGGAAUCAUUCAUGAUCAGGCAGCAAGUUAAUCCAUGAUGUAAGGAAAAUGGUAUGCUCCAUAUUAGCUAUAAACCAAAUUACCAUGCAAUAUUCCUGGCAAACAAUAAUAUAUAACAGUAGAAGUGCAAACAUUUAAUUAUGCCUACAAUGCAUGUUUCCAUGCAUUGAUCUGAAUUUAAUUCAAUU